ACCGGAUCCGGAAAGGGGUGUCUGCCUCAGCUGUGCCCUUCACUCCCUCCUCCCCGCUGCUGUCCUGCUCCCAGGAGGGAAGCCGCCACACGAGCAAGCUUUCCCGCCACGGCAGUGGAGCCGACAGUGACUAUGAGAACACGCAAAGUGGGGACCCACUGCUGGGGCUGGAAGGGAAGAGGUUUCUAGAGCUGGGCAAAGAGGAAG
RNAcentral lists this unclassified non-coding RNA (207 nucleotides) under Hevea brasiliensis (rubber tree). Lineage: Eukaryota; Viridiplantae; Streptophyta; Magnoliopsida; Malpighiales; Euphorbiaceae. The record is from RNAcentral.